AUGGGGGUGAUGAUCGAACAGGCACCACUGUGCCCCUUUGGUGCCGACACCGAUUGGAAGAUAGACUGGUAUGAAUCCAUGCUAGGGUCACUAAGAAACAGGCAUGUCAAUGCUUGGCAAGUCGAACUUGUUGGGUACCCUCCCAUCGUGAAGAAGCUCAAGAUCUUCGUGACCACCAAAGCCAUCGGCAUGGCUGACCAGCUGCUGGGACCAGACUAUCAGAACAUGAUGAUGCUCACCAAUGGUGGUUCCGAAGAAGUGAACCAGGUGCCUGAACCUGUGGUUGAUGGAGCUGGUACUGAAGAUGCUUCUGCCACAAGUAGGACAAGGAGUUCAUUGUGCCACUGCCAGGAAAGGUGCGCGGUGCUAGGGCUCUGUCUCUGCCCUCGGUUGCGUCUUCUGUUGGCCCCGGUGUCGUGCGAUGGUGGUGAUGUUUGCAUCUCAUACAAAACAGCCCAAGGGGACAUGGAGUGCAGUGUCACCUUCCUCAUCCCCUCCCUUUCCCCUUGCUCUGGACACAGGAUCAUUUUGUUUGCUUUGCUCAGAGAGAAGAUGAGGGAGAUCCUCCACGUUCAGGGUGGGCAAUGUGGAGACCAGAUUGAUUCCAAGUUCUGGGAGGUGGCGUACGACGAGCAUGGCAUCAUCCUCACGGGGCGCUAUGUCGGCACCUCUGAUCUGCAGCUGGAGCGUGUCAAUGCGUACUACAAUGAGGCUUCGUAUAGUCGCUUUAUGCCCUGUGAUGUCCUUGUGGAUCUUGAGCAUGGUACUAUGGGCAGUGUCCAUCCAGGACCGUACAGGCAGAUCUUCUGCCCCGACAACUUUAUUUUUCGGCAGUCUGGUGCUGGUAACAACUGGGCCAAGUGUCAUUACACUGAGGGUGCUGAGCUCAUUGAUUCUGUUCUUGAUGUUGUCAGGAAGGAGGCUGAGAACUGUGCUGAGCUCAUUGAUUCCGUUCUUGAUGUUGUCAGGAAGGAGGUGUAG
RNAcentral lists this ribosomal RNA (981 nucleotides) under Triticum aestivum (bread wheat). RNAcentral's name for it is "partial small subunit ribosomal RNA". Lineage: Eukaryota; Viridiplantae; Streptophyta; Magnoliopsida; Poales; Poaceae. The record is from RNAcentral.